GAUUCCGUAGCUCAGCUGGAUAGAGCAGGUGCCUUCUAAGCAUCAGGUCACUGGUUCGAAUCCAGUCGGGAUCACCA
RNAcentral lists this transfer RNA (77 nucleotides) under Oligoflexia bacterium. Its description in RNAcentral is "tRNA-Arg". It matches the Rfam family "tRNA". From Rfam's summary of the family: Transfer RNA (tRNA) molecules are approximately 80 nucleotides in length. Their secondary structure includes four short double-helical elements and three loops (D, anti-codon, and T loops). Lineage: Bacteria; Pseudomonadati; Bdellovibrionota; Oligoflexia. The record is from RNAcentral.